GUUGUUUCAUCAAAAUAUAUUGCCUGAUACAACUGGAUGUGUUCUGUUAGAAACAUGAAAUAUUUGCAAUAAAAUGUUAUCUUACUAGCAAAAGACUGCUACAGGCAAGAAUUCACACCUCUGACAAUUUAAAUCAAACCCAGAAAGAAGCCAGUACAUAUGAACAGAAUUUCAAGGAAAUCCAGACAAGAAGAUAUGCCUGCAACUCACACCUAAAUAUAUUGGACUUACUGCAGACAUCAGUUUUCAGCUGUUUGACCACGAAAUUAGUUUUAUCAAGCUAACCCACCCUGCAAACUAAUUUUUGU
Melopsittacus undulatus (budgerigar) is the source of this 308-nucleotide long non-coding RNA. RefSeq lists it as uncharacterized. NCBI's taxonomy places the organism in Eukaryota, Metazoa, Chordata, Aves, Psittaciformes, Psittaculidae. The transcript has 3 exons. The record is from RefSeq and is a predicted model, not a curated record.